UGCAAGUCGAGCGAGCAGAACCAGCAGAUUUACUUCGGUAAUGACGCUGGGGACGCGAGCGGCGGAUGGGUGAGUAACACGUGGGGAACCUGCCCCAUAGUCUAGGAUACCACUUGGAAACAGGUGCUAAUACCGGAUAAUAAAGCAGAUCGCAUGAUCAGCUUAUAAAAGGCGGCGUAAGCUGUCGCUAUGGGAUGGCCCCGCGGUGCAUUAGCUAGUUGGUAAGGUAACGGCUUACCAAGGCAAUGAUGCAUAGCCGAGUUGAGAGACUGAACGGCCACAUUGGGACUGAGACACGGCCCAAACUCCUACGGGAGGCAGCAGUAGGGAAUCUUCCACAAUGGACGCAAGUCUGAUGGAGCAACGCCGCGUGAGUGAAGAAGGUUUUCGGAUCGUAAAGCUCUGUUGUUGGUGAAGAAGGAUAGAGGUAGUAACUGGCCUUUAUUUGACGGUAAUCAACCAGAAAGUCACGGCUAACUACGUGCCAGCAGCCGCGGUAAUACGUAGGUGGCAAGCGUUGUCCGGAUUUAUUGGGCGUAAAGCGAGCGCAGGCGGAAGAAUAAGUCUGAUGUGAAAGCCCUCGGCUUAACCGAGGAAUUGCAUCGGAAACUGUUUUUCUUGAGUGCAGAAGAGGAGAGUGGAACUCCAUGUGUAGCGGUGGAAUGCGUAGAUAUAUGGAAGAACACCAGUGGCGAAGGCGGCUCUCUGGUCUGCAACUGACGCUGAGGCUCGAAAGCAUGGGUAGCGAACAGGAUUAGAUACCCUGGUAGUCCAUGCCGUAAACGAUGAGUGCUAAGUGUUGGGAGGUUUCCGCCUCUCAGUGCUGCAGCUAACGCAUUAAGCACUCCGCCUGGGGAGUACGACCGCAAGGUUGAAACUCAAAGGAAUUGACGGGGGCCCGCACAAGCGGUGGAGCAUGUGGUUUAAUUCGAAGCAACGCGAAGAACCUUACCAGGUCUUGACAUCUAGUGCCAUCCUAAGAGAUUAGGAGUUCCCUUCGGGGACGCUAAGACAGGUGGUGCAUGGCUGUCGUCAGCUCGUGUCGUGAGAUGUUGGGUUAAGUCCCGCAACGAGCGCAACCCUUAUUAUUAGUUGCCAGCAUUAAGUUGGGCACUCUAAUGAGACUGCCGGUGACAAACCGGAGGAAGGUGGGGAUGACGUCAAGUCAUCAUGCCCCUUAUGACCUGGGCUACACACGUGCUACAAUGGGCAGUACAACGAGAAGCGAGCCUGCGAAGGCAAGCGAAUCUCUGAAAGCUGUUCUCAGUUCGGACUGCAGUCUGCAACUCGACUGCACGAAGCUGGAAUCGCUAGUAAUCGCGGAUCAGAACGCCGCGGUGAAUACGUUCCCGGGCCUUGUACACACCGCCCGUCACACCAUGGAAGUCUGCAAUGCCCAAAGCCGGUGGCCUAACCUUCGGGAAGGAGCCGUCUAAGGCAGGGCAGAUGACUGGGGUGAAGUCGUAACAA
RNAcentral lists this ribosomal RNA (1470 nucleotides) under Lactobacillus helveticus. Its description in RNAcentral is "16S ribosomal RNA". It matches the Rfam family "Bacterial small subunit ribosomal RNA". The record is from RNAcentral. Lineage: Bacteria; Bacillati; Bacillota; Bacilli; Lactobacillales; Lactobacillaceae.